UAGCUAGUUGGUGAGGUAACGGCUUACCAAGGCGACGAUCUGUAGCGGGUCUGAGAGGAUGAUCCGCCACACUGGAACUGAGACACGGUCCAGACUCCUACGGGAGGCAGCAGUGGGGAAUUUUGGACAAUGGGGGCAACCCUGAUCCAGCCAUGCCGCGUGAGUGAAGAAGGCCUUCGGGUUGUAAAGCUCUUUCGGCCGGGAAGAAAUCGCAUGGGCCAAUACUCUGUGUGGAUGACGGUACCGGAAUAAGAAGCACCGGCUAACUACGUGCCAGCAGCCGCGGUAAUACGUAGGGUGCGAGCGUUAAUCGGAAUUACUGGGCGUAAAGCGUGCGCAGGCGGUUUUGUAAGACAGGCGUGAAAUCCCCGGGCUCAACCUGGGAACUGCGUUUGUGACUGCAAGGCUAGAGUACGGCAGAGGGGGGUGGAAUUCCACGUGUAGCAGUGAAAUGCGUAGAGAUGUGGAGGAACACCAAUGGCGAAGGCAGCCCCCUGGGUCGAUACUGACGCUCAUGCACGAAAGCGUGGGUAGCAAACAGGAUUAGAUACCCUGGUAGUCCACGCCCUAAACUAUGUCAACUAGGUGUUGGGUGGGUAAAACCAUUUAGUACCGUAGCUAACGCGUGAAGUUGACCGCCUGGGGAGUACGGCCGCAAGGUUAAAACUCAAAGGAAUUGACGGGGACCCGCACAAGCGGUGGAUGAUGUGGAUUAAUUCGAUGCAACGCGAAAAACCUUACCUACCCUUGACAUGCCAGGAACUUGCCAGAGAUGGCUUGGUGCCCGAAAGGGAGCCUGGACACAGGUGCUGCAUGGCUGUCGUCAGCUCGUGUCGUGAGAUGUUGGGUUAAGCCCGCAACGAGCGCAACCCUUGUCGUUAAUUGCCAUCAUUUAGUUGGGCACUUUAGCGAGACUGCCGGUGACAAACCGGAGGAAGGUGGGGAUGACGUCAAGUCCUCAUGGCCCUUAUGGGUAGGGCUCCACACGUCAUACAAUGGUCGGUACAGAGGGUCGCCAAGCCGCGAGGUGGAGCCAAUCCCAGAAAGCCGAUCGUAGUCCGGAUUGCAGGCUGCAACUCGCCUGCAUGAAGUCGGAAUCGCUAGUAAUCGUGGAUCAGCAUGUCACGGUGAAUACGUUCCCGGGUCUUGUACACACCGCCCGUCACACCAUGGGAGCGGGUUCCGCCAGAAGUAGGUAGCCUAACCGCAAGGAGGGCGCUUACCACGGCGGGGUUCGUGACUGGGGUGAAGUCGUAACAAGGUAGCCGUAGGGGAACCUGCGGCUG
RNAcentral lists this ribosomal RNA (1286 nucleotides) under metagenome. Its description in RNAcentral is "bacterial SSU rRNA". It matches the Rfam family "Bacterial small subunit ribosomal RNA", at positions 242 to 1520 of the family's 1533-position model. The record is from RNAcentral.